GGAGUUGUGGCUCAAUGGUAGAGUGCUUGCCUUGCAAGCAUGAGGCCCUGGGUUUUAUUCCCAGCACCA
This 69-nucleotide transfer RNA is filed under the name Leptotrombidium deliense. RNAcentral's name for it is "tRNA-Ala for anticodon UGC". It matches the Rfam family "tRNA". From Rfam's summary of the family: Transfer RNA (tRNA) molecules are approximately 80 nucleotides in length. Their secondary structure includes four short double-helical elements and three loops (D, anti-codon, and T loops). The record is from Rfam by way of RNAcentral. Lineage: Eukaryota; Metazoa; Arthropoda; Arachnida; Trombidiformes; Trombiculidae.